Molecule: transfer RNA, 76 nt
Filed under: Rhodospirillaceae bacterium
Lineage: Bacteria; Pseudomonadati; Pseudomonadota; Alphaproteobacteria; Rhodospirillales; Rhodospirillaceae
Description: tRNA-Glu
Rfam family: tRNA
About the family: Transfer RNA (tRNA) molecules are approximately 80 nucleotides in length. Their secondary structure includes four short double-helical elements and three loops (D, anti-codon, and T loops). Further hydrogen bonds mediate the characteristic L-shaped molecular structure. tRNAs have two regions of fundamental functional importance: the anti-codon, which is responsible for specific mRNA codon recognition, and the 3' end, to which the tRNAs corresponding amino acid is attached (by aminoacyl-tRNA synthetases). tRNAs cope with the degeneracy of the genetic code in two manners: having more than one tRNA (with a specific anti-codon) for a particular amino acid; and 'wobble' base-pairing, i.e. permitting non-standard base-pairing at the 3rd anti-codon position.
Source: RNAcentral
GACCCCAUCGUCUAGUGGCCUAGGACAUCGGCCUUUCACGCCGAAAACACGGGUUCGAGUCCCGUUGGGGUCACCA